RNAcentral lists this ribosomal RNA (942 nucleotides) under Funneliformis caledonium. RNAcentral's name for it is "LSU rRNA". It matches the Rfam family "Eukaryotic large subunit ribosomal RNA", at positions 1 to 779 of the family's 3401-position model. The record is from RNAcentral. Lineage: Eukaryota; Fungi; Glomeromycota; Glomeromycetes; Glomerales; Glomeraceae.
GACCUCAAAUCAGGUAAGAAUACCCGCUGAACUUAAGCAUAUCAAUAAGCGGAGGAAAAGAAAAUAACAAUGAUUCCCUCAGUAACGGCGAGCGAAGAGGGAUAAGCUCAAAUUUUAAAUCUGUUGGGUUUCACCUAACAGAGUUGUAUUUUGAAGAAACGUUUUCUGCGUCCAGGAUUAGCCUAAAUCCUUUGGGAUAAGGUAUCAUGGAGGGUGAGAAUCCCGUUCAUGGUUAAUCUUAAGGAUGCUCUACGAUACGUUCUCCAAGAGUCGAGUUGUUUGGGAUUGCAGCUCAAAAUGGGAGGUAAAUUUCUCCUAAGGCUAAAUAUUGGCGAGAGACCGAUAGCGAACAAGUACCGUGAGGGAAAGAUGAAAAGAACUUUGAAAAGAGAGUUAAACAGUACGUGAAAUUGUUGAAAGGGAAACGAUUGAAGUCAGUCAUACCAACGGGAAAUCAACCUCUUGAGUUUGGUCUCGUGGGUUUCGAAGAGUUUUAAAAGCCUUCGGAUUUUCGAGAUUGGGCUCUUCUGGUGUACUUUCUCGUACGGUUAGUCAACAUCGGUUUUGAAUGUCAUAAAAUGACUGGAGGAAUGUGGCUUCGAUCUCGUAUUGAAGUGUUAUAGCCUUUGGUAGAUGUGAUGUUCGAGACCGAGGAUUGCAACGGAUACCCUUCUGGGCUAUUCGUCUGAUCUCUGAAACGUUGCCUUGAUGUCGAAAGCUUGCUUAUGAUGUUAAGGGUAUUACGGUCAAAAGGUUAGAACGGAUUAAAUUCGUUAAGGAUGUUGACGUAAUGACUUUAAACGACCCGUCUUGAAACACGGACCAAGGAGUCUAACAUAUAUGCGAGUGUUUGGGUGAAUAAACCCUUGCGCGUAAUGAAAGUGAUUUUGGUGAGAUCCGGAUUAAUUUUUUUCGGAGCAUCAUCGACCGAUCAGGAUAUUU